UACGUAGGCAGCGAGCGUUGUUCGGAGUUACUGGGCGUAAAGGGCGCGUAGGCGGCAAUUCAAGUCAUCUGUGAAAUCUCCGAGCUUAACUCGGAACGGUCAGAUGAUACUGCUUUGCUAGAGUGCAGAAGGGGCAACCGGAAUUCUUGGUGUAGCGGUGAAAUGCGUAGAUAUCGAGAGGAACACCUGCGGCGAAGGCGGGUUGCUGGGCUGACACUGACGCUGAUGCGCGAAAGCCAGGGGAGCGAACGGG
Molecule: ribosomal RNA, 253 nt
Filed under: uncultured bacterium
Lineage: Bacteria
Description: partial 16S ribosomal RNA
Rfam family: Bacterial small subunit ribosomal RNA
Source: RNAcentral